Molecule: RNA transcript, 4561 nt
Organism: Onychostoma macrolepis
Lineage: Eukaryota; Metazoa; Chordata; Actinopteri; Cypriniformes; Cyprinidae
Gene name: interferon-induced protein 44-like
Exons: 10
Source: RefSeq, a predicted model, not a curated record
CGCAACGCCAUGUAGACGCGCAACAAAUUUUAACUGCAGUCUGUUAGCAGCACGUAAAACAACUUUUAUUUAAGGCAGCGGCUAUUUGCACUAAGUGCAAAUAGCGCAUUUGCACUAAGUGCACUAAGUGCAAAUAGCAUAUUUUCCUAGCUGGAUGGAUGCUAUUUACACUAUGUUAAAAUAGCAAGAUUUUCUGCUAUUUAUACUACUUAUUGCAAAUAGUAUUGCAAUUAUCUGCACCUCAGUAUUAUAGUACAUUAUAAAACAUUACGCAAUAAUAAUGUAUUGAGUGUAAAUUAUAGUUUUAAUUCAAAUUAGGCUAUUAAAUGGAUAUGCCACCUUUUUGGGACAAUAAAGCCCUCCCUACACCUACCCUAACCCCUAAAUGCCAUUCCGAUGCGAGAAGGGAGAAAAAAGUAGAAAAAAGAAACGCGCCUUAAUCUACACCACUGAAACUGACGAGCAACGAGCGUCUUUUUGCAGUGUUGACUGUCCCAAUCACACGUUGGUGGGCGAAGUUAGUGUAAAUAGCCUUUGCAUAUUUGCACUUAAGCCCGGCUCACACUGUGCGAUUUUAGCCACGAUUUGGUCGUCUGGGACAAAUUUUGAAAAUCCUAAAAGAUAAUCCUAGGCUAAAAUCCGUAGUCUUUGAUCGUUAGUUUGACAUGUUCACGGACAGCCGAUUAAUGGCUGUUGCGAUCAAAUUUCACCUCCGACGAAAUUCUGGCAGUGUCAGAAGAUUUGGCACACAGUCCUUCAGUGUGACUACCCCUGCGACGAAUAUCAAACUGUCUCCGUUUUUCAAGGCAAGCUAUGAGCAGAAUUAAUGCUUGAGAAUUACUCUAUCAGCCACAAACUCCGGCGCUCCCGUCCUCCGCUCACGGAAUUCAUCUGAUAUGUUUCUUUUCUAUAUAACACUGGUUGCGCCGCUGUUUUCAUGUGCGUGUGUAUGAAUACAUACACUAUUCUUCUUAAACACGCCGGUAUUGCCGCGAUGCAAAAAGCCAAAGUUAGAAAAGUCAGCACAGAUACCCUCACUUCUAAUUUACCUGAAGAGCGAAGAGAACAGCUCUGUGGCCUGCUGGGGAAUGUGGAACUGUCUCUUCUCUACAAAGCUUCAGUUCAUGGAUAUCAAGCUUCUGUCUUCCACCAGAGAUGUGACCAUCAGGGUCCCACUUUACUUGUAGCCUACAACAGUUCAGGCUACAUCUUUGGUGGAUACACUAGUGUAGAUUAUGCUCGAAGUGGCCGGGAAAUUGCAGAUGAGGAAGCUUUACUGUUCAGUUUUAAAAGUGGAACCUGUAGCUACAUCAAAAUUAACAGUGGCUAUAAGGCACGUUAUGAUGAUGCUAAAGGGCCCAACUUUGGCCAACAGCUGUACUUUUGCUACAACAACCAACCAGCUGUGUAUCAUCAAGGAGGGAAUGCAUUCAACAUUAAUACCUCAUUAAUGUAUGGCAAUGACACUCAGCUGAAUGAAUGCGAGGUGUAUAAAGUGGAACAGGAGCCUGAAGUCAGCGUUGAGGAGAAACCAUGGAGGAAUGUUCUAUGGACACCUGAACGAAGAACAGAGCUCAUGGAAAUGAUCAGGAACCAUAAACCCUUGAUGCCGUCUGUGAGUCGAGUCCGGAUCCUAAUGAUCGGUCCUGUAGGUGCUGGAAAAUCCAGUUUCUUCAACUCCAUCAACUCCAUCUUCACUGGUCAUGUGACCAACAAAGCCAUGUCAGGAUCUGCAGGCACUAGUCUAACCGUACAGUUUCGCACAUAUCCAGUGAAUGAUGGUCGUGGAGGAAAGCCGUUGCCAUUUGUGUUGUGUGACACCAUGGGACUCGAGGAGCACUCAGGUGCAGGACUGGAUAUUGAGGACAUCAGCAGCAUUCUUCAAGGUCACGUACCAGACCGCUAUAAAUUCAACCCCAUGGCGCCGUUUCAACCUGACGAGCAAAAGGCCUCCAGACCUGCAUCUCUGCAGGAGAAGAUCCACUGUGUGGUGUACGUGAUAGACGCCACCAAAAUCUCCCUCAUGUCUGACAAACUACAGGAAAAACUUGCUUCCAUACGCAGAAAAGUGAACUCACUGGGCAUCGCUCAGAUGGUCUUGAUGACAAAAGUAGAUGAAGCAUGUCCUCUAGUGGAGGAAAAUCUUCAAAGCCUUUAUGUCAGCUCCUACAUCAAGUCAAAGGUUCAGGAGGUGAGCUCUCGGUUGGGUGUGCCGGUGUCUUGUGUGUUACCGGUGAAGAACUACAGUCAGGAGCUGGAGCUGGAGCUCAACUGUGACGUCCUGCUGCUCACCGCUCUACAGCAGAUGCUUCGCUUUGCAGACGACUAUUUUGAUGAUAUUCGUCCUGUGGAGGGCGACCCAUAAUAAUUUUUUUGGGGGCUCCUGUGACUUUUUGAGUCUUAUCUUACUAGUACUUGAGGUCUCUUACUAGUAUUAGUAAGAGGACUAAUAAAGUUUGACUAUUUUGUACAUUUGUUUUGGCAAUAAUGUCAACACAGUGAAAAUAUAAUCAAUAUUUGCUAAACAUAAAAUAAACAAAUGAAGAUCUGCUACCCACCUUAAUUUUAACAUAAUAGUGGGUGUGAUUUAUAAAUUGAUUGUGUGGUGAUAAGUGUCAUCCGUUUCCAGUUAUUUUAGCUGUACAAUAAUAUAGCCCAUAUAUAUCACAUUAAUUCUGUAUGCAUCAAAGUUAACAGUGGAUGUUAUGCACACUUUGAUGAUGCUGAAGGGCCCAACUUUGGCCAACAGAUGUGCUUUUGCUACAAAAAUCAACCACUUGUGCAAUCAGUAUGUAUGUAAUGUAUAUCAGUAUAAUGCAUUCAAUUUUAUUCCUGCAACACUAUAAGAAUGACACUCGGCUGAAUGAUUGUUAGUUGUACAAUGUGGAGCAAAGUAAGUCAAUCAUUAGAAAAAUAUACACUGUAAAAAAGUAUUUCGCAGUUUAGUUGUUUCAAUUAAUGUUUUUAAGUUGACUCAACUUUCAGUUCAUUAGUUUGUUCAUUCAACUUAAAUUUUUAAAUUUCACUGUCUCAACUAGUUCGUUAAGUUGACAAAACUAGCCAUUUGCCCCCUCAACUUAAAAAAAUGUGUUGAAUCAAUUUAAUAACGAUAUCACGUCCCUUAUCGCGAGAUCACGUGAAGACUUGCAGAAAGAAGACGUUGGUCAGCCAUCUUGAUGAGCUUCUCCACAGAGCUUGAAAAUGUUUUUAAACCAACACUUUUGGUAAGUAAAUAUUUGUAUUUAUUGGUUUAACACAAUUACGUAUGUUGUCUAAGAAUAGUGCAAGUAUGGUUUAAAGCAUCGCAUUUUGUAGUUAAAUGGAUACCAGCGUUAGUUUCGCGACACUCUAAUUCAGCCUCAAAAUACACGCGGUUCCACAGUAUUUUUCAUAUAAUUAUUAAACUAAAUAUUCUCCCAUGCUAUACUGAGCUGAACCUAUCUGGAGAAUAUACUGUUUGGUAUGUAUUAUUUGAGCCCAGUACUGCAUUAGAGACCGUUCAAACUGAGCGCGACGAACAACUGUGUGGAUUUAGAACGGCGGGAAUUUUAAAAAAUGACCUUAUGAACGAUUAAAAUUAGGGGAAAUAAACAAGAUUACUGCUCGAACUGUCAUUUUUCUGCACGUUGUAAGUGAAACGAACGAGCACCUCUCAGAGUUGGUUUGGAGAGCGUGCAUUUGUCUGAUAUAAUCUUUCAGAUGAGGUUCUAACGGUACAAACUCUUCUUUCAGUUAAAGUACAGAAGUGCCUCGCCGGAACCCAUGGCAACGCUGCGUGAAUAUACGGUCGGUUAAAAAAUUGAAGGUAUGAAAAGUAAUAAUGGCAUAUAUCUUGUAUAAAAAGCCCUGUGAUGAGGAUAAAUACAUAGUUUCCUGUGUUAUGUAAUUUAAAAGCCUUUUCUGGAUUGUAAAAUAUGGUUUUGGUAAUUGAAACGUAAACUAGCAAUGACAUUUGACUUUCUCUGUCAAGAUUAUUUGUAUUUAUAGUGUUGUUUUAACAUGUUUCUGUAUUUUCCAUGUUUAUGAUAUUCUGGAAUGACUAAAGAUCAGCACAGAGUUCUUGUGGAUGGACCUCAGCAAGUCCUUCUGCAGUUGUAUCCAUCAAAGUGCUAUGCAGACACAAUGGGAAUGACUGUCACAUUGUAGAGCUUGGACAAAUUCGCACAGGUUCUCAAGAGGAAUUCAUCAAGGACAAGUCUGUUGGCAUUAUAGUUGUUGGGUGACCAAAAUGAGCAUCAUCAAUCUGCAGUGAUGUGGUCCCAGUAAUAGAAGAAGAAAUCUUGUUUAUCUACAGUUGUAACACCCAUCUCAUGAAUUGAGGUGACAUGGGCAUCUUGAUUGUGACUGAGGAGGAGGAAUGGGAGGUGCUUCCAAAAUAAACCAAUGACGUUGCUAUCAUUUUGGAAGAGCGUCUUGUCGCCAUCGAUAUCUGUGACGUCCCGAAAGCAUUUGUGCUCCUGAUGGGUCAUCUUUACAUCAUUAACAAAACACAGUACAGUUCUGAUGUUCUCAAAACUUUGCACGAACAUUGGUGGGAGUAACUGUUCUUCACGUGUUUACG